GACGGAUGGGGCUAGCGUUGUUCGGAAUUACUGGGCGUAAAGGGCGCGUAGGCGGCCAUUUAAGUUAGACGUGAAAGCCCUGGGCUUAACCUAGGAACUGCGUUUAAUACUGGAUGGCUAGAGUAUGGUAGAGGAAAGCGGAAUUCCUAGUGUAGAGGUGAAAUUCGUAGAUAUUAGGAAGAACACCAGAGGCGAAGGCGCUUCUGGACCAUUACUGACGCUGAGGCGCGAAAGCGUGGGGAGCAAACAGG
RNAcentral lists this ribosomal RNA (251 nucleotides) under uncultured bacterium. RNAcentral's name for it is "partial 16S ribosomal RNA". It matches the Rfam family "Bacterial small subunit ribosomal RNA", at positions 524 to 776 of the family's 1533-position model. The record is from RNAcentral.